CAAAUGGGAUUUUAUCAGUGUUGUCAAAUUUAUCCGGAUACGUGUGGACGGGCGAAAACGAUCCGAAAACGAUACUUUGCGUUUGAUACCACUGCUU
Molecule: long non-coding RNA, 97 nt
Organism: Xenia sp. Carnegie-2017
Lineage: Eukaryota; Metazoa; Cnidaria; Anthozoa; Malacalcyonacea; Xeniidae
Exons: 3
Source: RefSeq, a predicted model, not a curated record